GACGAACGCUGGCGGCGUGCUUAACACAUGCAAGUCGAACGGUAAGGCCCUUCGGGUACGACGAGUGGCGAACGGGUGAGUAACACGUGGUGAUCUGCCCUGCACUUCGGGAUAAGCCUGGGAAACUGGGUCUAAUACCGGAUAGGACCAUGGACUUCACGGUUUGUGGUGGAAAGCUUUUGCGGUGUGGGAUGGGCCCGCGGCCUAUCAGCUUGUUGGUGGGGUAAUGGCCUACCAAGGCGACGACGGGUAGCCGGCCUGAGAGGGUGUCCGGCCACACUGGGACUGAGAUACGGCCCAGACUCCUACGGGAGGCAGCAGUGGGGAAUAUUGCACAAUGGGCGCAAGCCUGAUGCAGCGACGCCGCGUGAGGGAUGACGGGCCUUCGGG
Molecule: ribosomal RNA, 390 nt
Filed under: uncultured bacterium
Lineage: Bacteria
Description: bacterial SSU rRNA
Rfam family: Bacterial small subunit ribosomal RNA
Source: RNAcentral